UGCCCCCGUAGCUCAGUGGAUAGAGCAGCGGUUUCCUAAACCGAAGGUCGCAAGUUCAAUUCUUGCCGGGGGUGCCC
Molecule: transfer RNA, 77 nt
Filed under: Sorangium sp. So ce836
Lineage: Bacteria; Pseudomonadati; Myxococcota; Polyangiales; Polyangiaceae
Description: Sorangium sp. Soce836 tRNA-Arg
Rfam family: tRNA
About the family: Transfer RNA (tRNA) molecules are approximately 80 nucleotides in length. Their secondary structure includes four short double-helical elements and three loops (D, anti-codon, and T loops).
Source: RNAcentral